RNAcentral lists this RNase P RNA (407 nucleotides) under Planctomycetota bacterium. RNAcentral describes it as "Planctomycetes bacterium RNase P RNA component class A". It matches the Rfam family "Bacterial RNase P class A". From Rfam's summary of the family: Ribonuclease P (RNase P) is a ubiquitous endoribonuclease, found in archaea, bacteria and eukarya as well as chloroplasts and mitochondria. Its best characterised activity is the generation of mature 5'-ends of tRNAs by cleaving the 5'-leader elements of precursor-tRNAs. Cellular RNase Ps are ribonucleoproteins. Lineage: Bacteria; Pseudomonadati; Planctomycetota. The record is from RNAcentral.
GUCGCGUGUCAAGGCAGUCGCUCGGAGCGUGAUCGCAAGAUCGCACUUCGGGAGGAAAGUCCGAGCACGGUAGGACAAAGGUGGUGGGUAACGCCCACCGACCCGCUGCAGGGUCAGGGAAAGUGCCACAGAAAAUAAACCGCCAGUGUCGGAUUUCCGAAGGCUGGUAAGGGUGAAACGGUGCGGUAAGAGCGCACCGCUCUGAUGGUGACAUCAGGGGCACGGCAAACCCCACCUCGUGCAAACGCAAGCAGUUCCUGUUCGGUUCGCCGAACGCCCGCGGUCCGUGGGCUUGGGAACGGGUCGCGCGCUAGAGCCGAUGGGCAACCAUCGGCCCAGAGAAAUGGCUGCCAGCGGAGCGCCUCAAACGGUCCGCACAGAACUCGGCUUAUCGACGCAUUGCAGCA